Molecule: ribosomal RNA, 461 nt
Filed under: uncultured bacterium
Lineage: Bacteria
Description: partial 16S ribosomal RNA
Rfam family: Bacterial small subunit ribosomal RNA
Source: RNAcentral
CCUACGGGUGGCAGCAGUGAGGAAUAUUGGUCAAUGGGCGGGAGCCUGAACCAGCCAAGUCGCGUGAGGGAAGACGGUCCUAUGGAUUGUAAACCUCUUUAGCCGGGGAGCAAUGCCGGGCACGCGUGCCCGAAGGGAGAGUACCCGCAGAACAAGCAUCGGCUAACUCCGUGCCAGCAGACGCGGUAAUACGGAGGAUGCGAGCGUUAUCCGGAUUUACUGGGUGUAAAGGGCGUGCAGCCGGAGAGACCAGUCAGAUGUGAAAUCCACGGGCUCAACCCGGGAACUGCAUUUGAAACUGUUUCACUUGAGUGUAGGAGAGGUAAUCGGAAUUCCUGGUGUAGCGGUGAAAUGCGUAGAUAUUAGGAAGAACACCAGUGGCGAAGGCGGAUUACUGGACGAUAACUGACGGUGAGGCGCGAAAGCGUGGGGAGCAAACAGGAUUAGAUACCCCUGUAGUC